CCUACGGGUGGCACCAGUAAGGAAUAUUGGUCAAUGGACGCAAGUCUGAACCAGCCAUGCCGCGUGAAGGAUGAAGGUCCUCUGGAUUGUAAACUUCUUUUAUAGGGGGCGAAAAAAGGGUUUUUUAACUCACUUGACGGUACCUUAUGAAUAAGCACCGGCUAACUCCGUGCCAGCAGCCGCGGUAAUACGGAGGGUGCAAGCGUUAUCCGGAUUUACUGGGUUUAAAGGGUGCGCAGGCGGGCGAUUAAGUCAGUGGUGAAAUCUUCGAGCUUAACUCGGAAACUGCCGUUGAUACUAAUUGUCUUGAAUACUCGGGAGGUGAGCGGAAUAUGUCAUGUAGCGGUGAAAUGCUUAGAUAUGACAUAGAACACCGAUUGCGAAGGCAGCUCACUACAGAGAUAUUGACGCUGAGGCACGAAAGCGUGGGGAUCAAACAGGAUUAGAUACCCUAGUAGUC
This 460-nucleotide ribosomal RNA is filed under the name uncultured bacterium. Its description in RNAcentral is "bacterial SSU rRNA". It matches the Rfam family "Bacterial small subunit ribosomal RNA", at positions 338 to 795 of the family's 1533-position model. The record is from RNAcentral.